RNAcentral lists this long non-coding RNA (560 nucleotides) under Bos taurus (domestic cattle). Its description in RNAcentral is "long non-coding RNA NONBTAT016753". The record is from RNAcentral. Lineage: Eukaryota; Metazoa; Chordata; Mammalia; Artiodactyla; Bovidae.
UGAAUUCUCCCCAGAGCUUUGCUUUAUCAAAGAUAGAAGAGAGAGCUAGAACUUGACCCUAGUUUCUCAGCUGUACAGACUCUUUUACAAUUUCAAAGUAGCACUCACAGUGGCUGUGACUCUCAGCUGCAGAAGCAGUGCCAGAUUUUCCAGGCAGAAGAGGUUGAUAAUGAAAUGGUUGAGGGGACUCUCUAUUUUGAUAUGACUGAAAGCACCAAGAAGAGAAACCGAAUUUUGCAUUUCAAAGCUGAGAGAGCAGUAGGACUCUUGCGUGGCAGACUCUUGUUGAAUUCUAGGACAGUGAUUCACAAGGACAAAGAGCCGUGACUGUUAAGGAUACUAGUUCAGUGUCUGCUCAUGUGAAAUAAAACAGUACUGAAUGAACUUGUUACUACCGUUCUUUUAAAAAACACUUUUAAACCCCUAGUGAAUGUAACUUACCAGGAUGGGCAUGUCACGGAAGGCUUCUGGUGCCCACUUGUCCGGUUGCCUUGUCCUUACGUGAAAUCUUGACCCACUUCUUCAGCUUGUCUUGGACAAUCAAGCACUCUUGGGGCCCG